Molecule: long non-coding RNA, 2575 nt
Filed under: Canis lupus familiaris (dog)
Lineage: Eukaryota; Metazoa; Chordata; Mammalia; Carnivora; Canidae
Description: lncRNA (ENSCAFG00000052112.1)
Source: RNAcentral
UAUGUUAGAAAAGAUCUGAAAAUUGUAACUUGUUGAUUCAGGUGUUGUAUAUCAUAAAAUUUCAUCCUUUAUUGGCCUAAUAAUUGAAGCCCAAGGAAGCCAAUUGAAAGACCCUGUCUUAUUUAAUCAAAUCACCCAGAAAAUUGUUCAAUUUCACUUUGGGAAAACGAUGCAAUAUGGCAGAAAGCCAGUGUGUUUGCAUUUGUCUUUGGGAAGCAAACACACAGCAAGCUGCUACAGCCCAUCCCAACAAAUAGUAGGUUUUCUUACUUGUAAGAAGUCCCUUCGUUAAUUAGUCACUUUUUGGAUGAUGAUUUUUUUCUUCUGAAGCACAAUCUGGUGCCAAGAAUUACCGGAAGUCUAGAAAAUUAUUUACCUGUCAUUGUUUAAUCUUGUUUCCUGUUCUGAGGCUCUUAAGAGGUCUUAUCCUAGUACAGAUUUUCUGUUUUGUUUUUUAAAAUUAGCUUUCAAGGAAAAGUACAGCCUCUUAAACCAAGACAGUGCUAUAAGGACCCUCAGAGUCCUCUAAACUUUCUCCAAAAAACAAGAUUAAUUUAGAAAUUAUCUCCUCUAGUUUCAACUUCAAGAUACUGAGUGUUGCAGUUCUAAUACUCUUAGAUUUAACCCUGAUGACCUAUGAGAAAUUAAUGUUGAAAAAUGGCAGCGUUUCUUAUCUUAUUCAUCGUAUGGUUUUCAGGAUUUAUAAAGCACAAAAAUUGUGACUAAUUAGCUUUAUUCAUCAAAAACUGCCCUAUGCACUAAUUCGGUAUAGAAAUUCCAAGUCCUUUUUUUCAGCAUACAAACAGCUUUCCAAGUGUUCUAUAGACACUUUGCAUCAAAUGUAAUUGAGUGUUUAUUGGAGAAGUAGAUUAAGAACCCUCCCCUGUGGUUAUUCAGAGUUGUGUGGUGUGGCCUAGGAAUUUGUAUUUUUAAAAAAAUCACUCCACUAGGCCUGUACAGUUUGUGAAUCUAGGAAUUGGUUUCUAAUUCAGUGCUUUAAAAAAAAAUGGAGUGGCUAUAAAGCAUAAUUCACUAGUUUGAAUAUAGAAUAUAGUAACCAACUAAAGUUACAAGAUUUAUGUCAGUAUAUACUAAGUCCUGCUGAAAAUUAGUUAAAGAUAAAUAGGAAAAUUGGAUAUCUCAGGAAGUUUCCAAUGAAACUAUUAAAUGUUUAGUAUAUAUACCAGUAUAGAAUGCAUUUACAGAAUAUGAAAAAUUAAGUGUUUAUAUCUAAACAGACUAAAAACAGCUGGUACUCUUUGAGUGUGGGGAAGAGUUUUUAAAUGUUGAAGGUCAUCUUACUGAGAUGGAGGAAUAACCAAUUCAGGUUCUUAAUCUCUAUAAAGUUCAUGAAGAUUCAUAUAUAAAUACGAUGAGUUUAUAAUCCAGGGGCCAUUUUGAUAUGAUAGGUUAAAAAUAUGAUACAGCAAACAUGUCAAUUGCUAAGCAUUUAGGGAGAACUUAGCUAUAUUUUCUGGUUUCUUGCCCUUUUUUUUUCUUAGUUCUUUUUUUCUUUUCUUUUUUUUUUAGAAACCUGUACAUUCUCUAUACUGAGAUUUAUUUAAGAAUGACAAUGUGAUCAUUGUUACUUAAAAAAUUCAUUUAUGUGUAUCCAGGAGGAGAUUUUUAAGGCCCUGUCAAAUUUCUGCUGUGUUGGCUCAUGUUCUGAGAAUUGUCAGUGAAAGAAAGCCAAAACCAAGUGUAGGUACUCCCAACCAAACUUUUGGCAUGGCUUCUUUCCUCAAUACACUUUAUCUCAAAGCUCACUUGCCUCUGGGAUGUAUAAAUUAAGAUAUUGAUGAUGCCAGAUAAAUGAAUUUGAUCUUUGCACAGUGUUGUGAGGUAACUGAUGCGCAGUUGAUGAGUUUGAUGUAAUUUAUUAACUCGAGCAGAUAGGUCAAACUUUUCAAAGGUUUAUUAGGUUUAGACUUUCACUUGCAUUUAUAUCUACAAUUGGCUAUUUACCUCUCUCUUAAAUGUGCACAAGAACCAGAUAGAGGUAUAAAAGUCUCAACUUUGUAAACUGGUUAAACUGUAGAUCAAAAACAGUUUGUCAUCUUGUGCAGUGUAUUCACAUUAUUCUAGUAAAGAAAAAUAAAAAUAGGGCAUUAACCUGUUACAUCAAAAUUAUAUCAUUAGCUUCAUCAAUAUUCUAUCAAUUUUAGUUUUCAAUAUUCGUUAAGGCAAAAGUUAUGUUAAUUUCUAUUUUAAUUAAGACCGUUGUCUUAUUUCUCUGUGUGACAUACCUAGAGUGGGUCUCUGUGACUAGGGUGGGUUUACAUUGAUUGAAGACCAGAACAGAAUUUUAAAACAAGGCCUAACUGAUCAGAGUGAUGUUAUACAUCUGGAAUCUUUAAUCACUGGUUUGGUCGUUCAUGGGAGGAUAAAGCUGUCGGACUAUAUACAUCCUGGAUAUACUAUACUUGGAUUUUAUUUGGGUGUCACACCAUCACCCUCCAUACAUCAUGAGACAACUAUGUGAAUAAUGAGACAAAAUGUGAAUACUACUAAUGGUAGUGCACCUCUGGUGAAAAUUAAACUUGAAAUAUUCACUUAGAGUCAAAAAAAAAAAAAA